CAGCCGCCGCGGUAAAACGUAGGUGGCAAGCGUUGUCCGGAAUUAUUGGGCGUAAAGGGCUCGCAGGCGGUUUCUUAAGUCUGAUGUGAAAGCCCCCGGCUCAACCGGGGAGGGUCAUUGGAAACUGGGAAACUUGAGUGCAGAAGAGGAGAGUGGAAUUCCACGUGUAGCGGUGAAAUGCGUAGAGAUGUGGAGGAACACCAGUGGCGAAGGCGACUCUCUGGUCUGUAACUGACGCUGAGGAGCGAAAGCGUGGGGAGCGAACAGGAUUAGAUACCCCUGUAGUCCCUGUCUCUUAUAA
RNAcentral lists this ribosomal RNA (301 nucleotides) under uncultured bacterium. RNAcentral describes it as "partial 16S ribosomal RNA". It matches the Rfam family "Bacterial small subunit ribosomal RNA", at positions 509 to 809 of the family's 1533-position model. The record is from RNAcentral.